This 209-nucleotide unclassified non-coding RNA is filed under the name fungal sp. Its description in RNAcentral is "partial internal transcribed spacer region". The stretch from base 1 to 46 matches the Rfam family "Eukaryotic small subunit ribosomal RNA", at positions 1786 to 1831 of the family's 1831-position model. Lineage: Eukaryota; Fungi. The record is from RNAcentral.
AAGUCGUAACAAGGUCUCCGUAGGUGAACCUGCGGAGGGAUCAUUAACGAAAUCGAAACACGGUGCGACUGCAAGUAUAGCGUAGAGGGAGAUUCUCAGCAAUUCAACCUUAAACUUUACUGUCGUCGUUACUGAAAUUUAUUCACGAUAAACACAAUUGACAAAAUAGACAAUGAGAAACACUUUUAACAAUGGAUCUCUUGGCUCUU